Molecule: ribosomal RNA, 505 nt
Filed under: Thaumastocaris streptopus
Lineage: Eukaryota; Metazoa; Arthropoda; Malacostraca; Decapoda; Palaemonidae
Description: partial small subunit ribosomal RNA
Source: RNAcentral
AAUUUGUAGUUGCUUUUAAUAUAUGUGUUGGGAGGUGAAAUUUUUAGAUAUUAGGUAUUGAUUUUAACUAUAAUUUAAUCUAGAGGCUGUAAAGGUUUAGAACUAAACUAGGAUUAGAUACCCUAUUAUACUAAACUGAUAAUUUAUUUGCUUGAGUAGUAAUCAGUUAUGUUCUUGAAACUUAGAGGAUUUGGCGGUAUUCAAGUCUAGUUAGAGGAACCUGCUCUUUAAACGAUAUGCCACGAAUUAUCUUACUUAUUCUAGCUUUCAGUAUGUAUACCGCCAUUAUUAAGAAGUGUUUAAAAAUAUUUUUUGUAAUAACAAUUUAUUAAUAUAUUAGGUCAAGGUGCAGCCGAUGGGUAAGUAGAUGUGGGUUACAUUGUGUUGUAUAUUCGGAUUAAUUCUUGAAAAGGAUUUUUAAGUUGGAUUUAAUAGUAUGCUUAUUUUAAUAAGUUAAGUUGAUAGAAGCUCUAGAAUAUGUACAUAUUGCCCGUCGCUCUCAUAA